GAUCCUGGCUCAGGAUGAACGCUAGCUACAGGCUUAACACAUGCAAGUCGAGGGGCAGCAUUUUAGUUUGCUUGCAAACUAAAGAUGGCGACCGGCGCACGGGUGAGUAACACGUAUCCAACCUGCCGAUAACUCGGGGAUAGCCUUUCGAAAGAAAGAUUAAUAUCCGAUGGUAUAUUAAAACCGCAUGGUUUUACUAUUAAAGAAUUUUCGGUUAUCGAUGGGGAUGCGUUCCAUUAGUUUGUUGGCGGGGUAACGG
RNAcentral lists this ribosomal RNA (259 nucleotides) under uncultured bacterium. Its description in RNAcentral is "partial 16S ribosomal RNA". It matches the Rfam family "Bacterial small subunit ribosomal RNA", at positions 15 to 263 of the family's 1533-position model. The record is from RNAcentral.